This 521-nucleotide ribosomal RNA is filed under the name uncultured Glomus. RNAcentral's name for it is "SSU rRNA". It matches the Rfam family "Eukaryotic small subunit ribosomal RNA", at positions 569 to 1092 of the family's 1831-position model. Lineage: Eukaryota; Fungi; Glomeromycota; Glomeromycetes; Glomerales; Glomeraceae. The record is from RNAcentral.
AGCAGCCGCGGUAAUUCCAGCUCCAAUAGCGUAUAUUAAAGUUGUUGCAGUUAAAAAGCUCGUAGUUGAAUUUCGGAACCAAUAUGUCGGUCGUGCCUCGGUACGUACUGGUGUCAUUGGUUUCUCCCUUCUGAGGAUCCUUGAUGUCAUUAAUUUGGUGUCUUGGGGAAUCAGGACUGUUACCUUGAAAAAAUUAGAGUGUUUAAAGCAGGCAUACGCUUGAAUACAUUAGCAUGGAAUAAUGAAAUAGGACGUUCGAUUCUAUUUUGUUGGUUUCUAGGAUCGACGUAAUGAUUAAUAGGGAUAGUUGGGGGCAUUAGUAUUCAAUUGUCAGAGGUGAAAUUCUUGGAUUUAUUGAAGACUAACUACUGCGAAAGCAUUUGCCAAGGAUGUUUUCAUUAAUCAAGAACGAAAGUUAGGGGAUCGAAGACGAUCAGAUACCGUCGUAGUCUUAACCAUAAACUAUGCCGACUAGGGAUCGGAUGAUGUUAAUUUUUUAAUGACUCAUUCGGCGCCUUACG